Long non-coding RNA from Ananas comosus (pineapple), 7285 nucleotides. RefSeq lists it as uncharacterized. The record is from RefSeq and is a predicted model, not a curated record. The transcript is spliced from 2 exons. Lineage: Eukaryota; Viridiplantae; Streptophyta; Magnoliopsida; Poales; Bromeliaceae.
CCCGCCAAACACUUUACGUCUCAAUGACCCGUCCCCUCUGUCGAGUCUUUCCCCUCAGAUCGUCCGAUUCUUCUAAUCGAAAAGCCCUAGAGCGAUCCCCUCCUCUCCCCUUCGACUGCUUACUAGAGCGAUACGCGCUGUUCGUCUCCGAUCGCCCCAUUCUUGCAACCGGAAAAUCCUUUUGACUCUAUAGUUAAGAUUGCUCAAUCUUGUACGCGAAAGCUCUCAGUUCGACGCUCAGAUGGGUUCUUAUAGGAGCUAGGGCUUCUGAUCAGUAGAGAGACCACGAACCCUAGAUUCAUAUGCCAUUGCUUUCUGGCAGAGACAACGAAACCCUAGAUUCAGAUUUCAUUGCUCAACUAGAUUAGGUGGAUCUAAGGUCGAACACCAGCGUCAAUCUAAGGUAAAUGAUGAGAUUGCUUGCUGAGCCAAAGUCAGAUAGACCAUCCGCAGAUCCGAGCCUAAUUAUUUCAGGUGAUAUACUCCAAUUUCGUUUUUAUUAACUUUACAUGUCUCUUAAUAAUAAUCGUUUCACUUUUCGCAACCAAUUUAUCAUUCGUGCAUAUGUGCUCUGCAUAUAGUCUUGCAAAAUGCAGAUGAAUUUAUCUUUCUUCUUCUAAUAUAGACACCAUAUAUCGCACAUUUUUUUUUACAAAGCAUAGCAGUGGACAAGAAAAUCAAGCAUCAAACUAUGAAACUUGAAUCAGAAUUUGCCUUUCUUUUCAAGCAUUUACGAACUUUCUUUUUUUUUUUCUUUUGUAGUUCUUUAUGUACCUUUUUGUAAAUUUUUGUCUUUAUUAUUCUAUUUAUUCUUGCUAUUUUUUCUAUCUUCCUUUGGCCUUUCUUUCACUUCUUUGUUUUUUAUUUUAUCUUUUGUUGUAUUUACUAUCUCUCAGUCUAAUAUUCUUAAUUAUGGUCUUCUAUUUAUUAUAUAGUUCUUAUUAUUUCAAUGCUUGAUUGCUCUUGUGACUUCUAAUAGCGGCAAGUUUUUCUCUUUCAUUUAUACUUUCUAUACUUUUGAGAUCCUUGUCAAAGUUUCUUUCAUUUCCAUUAUGUAAUUAUAAAUUCUUUUUUCAUUCUUUCGUCCCCUGCUUUUGCUUUCGGUAUUAUAUCAAUUCUCUUUAUCUUUUUAUGUCUUAUUAGAUUUCAAUUGUUGAAGACUUUUAAUAAUUCUUUUUAUACUAUUCUAUUCUAUUUUAAUUUGUACCUUGUUCACCUUUUCAUGUAAAAGUUGUGUAUGUGAAAUUUUCUUACAAACUAUCAUUUUAUACAACAGAGUCCGGUAGUUUACUUUCUAUUGUCUUCAUCAAAAUUUUCUUCAUCAGCUUAAUAGACGAUUGUCUUUGAUUUGAUUUAUGAAACUUCCUUACAUGUUUCUCGUACUUUUGCUUGGGUUGGCUAGUUUCAUGCUAUUACUAUCUAACCAUGUAAUGUUUGUAUCAAACAAUUCCUCUAUUAUUGUUAUUUUAUUUCUAUCUGUUCUUUCUUGUUUUCCUUGUUCAACAAUUUUUCUUUUUAUUCUUUUUAUUGUUAGUUAAUAAUGGGUUUUUACCACUUGCUUUUUCUCCUUUUUAAUCUUAGUUACUUUGCUUUUAUUUUUAACCUGUUCAUACUAUCAUCUUCCAACUUUGCUAUUGUCUUAUUUCUUUUUCUUAUCUUCUCUCCACUGUUUUCUUGGUUGUAUUGUAUCUUUCCUCAAUUUUGAUUUGGAUUAUCUUAUUCUAACUUUAUUCAUGUGUAUCUUAUAUAUUUUCUUAUACAUAGAUUUUCUAUUUGUUAAAUAUCCUUAGUCUGUUUUCUUCAUUAAUUUUAUGGUGCAAAUACUUCUUUGGUUGUUGCUAGAAGUGGCAAAUUUUCACCGAACUUAACCAGCCAAUUAAGGUCUCACCUAGCUAUAUAUUGAUUUGGGUUUGGGUCAUCCCAAGUCAAAAGUUUUUCAGGUCAAAUCUAUUUAAAACUUAUGACCUUAUUUGAGUUAUGGCACCUAAUGGGUGCAGGACUCAGUUGAUUGUAUCAUGUUGGGACAAACAUAUGUACAUACUGAAAUAAAACAUAUCCUUUUGGCUUAAACGAAUUAAAGAGUUGGGUGAGCUUGACAUAUUGGUUUACCACUAUGUCCCCCAAACAUUAUGAAAUCCGUCAUUUCAAAUCAAAUGGGCCCAGGACUUAAGUUAUGUUAUUGUGUGAGUGAUUGAUACAGAAUUUUCGAGUGACUAACUGGAUGACUGGGUUUCAAUUUUUUCCUUCACUCGAAUCAAAUCCGGUUGGGUAUUUUGUCAUUUUUGGAGUCUUCCCUUUACCCAAAUCAAAUGGGAUAAUGAUAUUAUUUGAAAGCAAACCAACCUUACCCAAUUGCGUACCUCCUUUCUUUUUGCAACCUGAAAAUCAUGUCGCAAGUUUCGUUUGCAAUACUAUGGUUCAUAUUGAAGGUAUAUACUCUAAAUCCUACAAUUUUGAAUGAUUUUUAUAGUGAAAAUGUCUCUAAUUGUGAUGGUUUGGAAAAGGCUUAAUUGCUUCCCUCAUUGUAGGGUAAGGUGAUCGAUUAGCGUAUUUAGUUUUGUCGAUCUCCAAAAUGUUUAGAGGAGAUUAGCUAACCAUGAUAAAUCUGCGAUUACCAUUACAUGAAGAUUUUGAAUAUUUUGCUUCUAAGAGUUCUGUUAAAAAACAAUUAAACAUUCAGGUGAUGUUGUCUUCUGUUUGGCAUGUUUUCUUUUAUUCAUGAUAACUUUCUGAAAGAUAGAAAUCUCUAAUUAAUAAUUUUUGACUCUUUUAUAAGAUGCUAAUAUUAUCUACCUAGUAUCAGUUUUAGGAACUAUAGCAAAAUUAUGUCAAACGAGUCACGGGAUGCUUGAGGUUUAAUGUUCAAGUGAUCUGUUUGUUCUUUUUUUUUGUAUAUACUAAUAUCUACUAAAGGGCAUUGCAGUUACCAACCUGUGGCUGAUUAAAAUGUUUGGCCAUUUUUAUAUUUGCUUAUUCCAUAUCACUUACCUCCCUUCGUCUUGUUUGGGGGAGAGUAAUGCAAAAUAUAUGUUCUUUUGUUAACAUUCCUCAAUGGAUGGAAUACAAGUCCCCAAGAGGACUUGAGAUUUUCUUUUUCAUUGUCAAAGUAUGCGAGUUAUUUGGAUGGUAGCAAGUGGCAGUGUAUGAGGUGGUUGGUAACUUGAACAUUGAGGUGGCAGCAAUUGAAAGCAAAGUAUCUCAGUCUGCGGUCUUGAAUAAUGACAUUAGUUGUGUUUGAGGCGUCAGCUAACUUGCUCAAGUAGCUAUUCCUAUAUAUGCUUUGUCUUGGAGAUAAUUUGUAAGUUGAUUACUAUAUCUAUAUGUUACCUGAGAAGCUUGAGGUAGAGUUUCUUAUAUGAAGCCACUAAUACUUUUUGUUCUUUGAUCAUAUCUGCGCUGCUUAUUUGAUAUGAGUUAACUCCCAAAAGUUAAUUUUACCAGUAUCUGUUGAACCCAGUUGGUGGAACCGUGGAAGUAUCUAUUAACAUUUUCUUUUCUUUAGGUUUGCUUGCUCUAUUAAUCUAUUGCAAUUCUGUCAGGUUUGAGCUUAGAAUAGAAGAUAGAAGUUAAUCUCUUUCAUGGAUGCAAAGUAGUGAUUAUUUAUUCCUUAAUAUGAAUGUUUAUUUUUAGUUUUGGGUUCAAAUAUUCUGUUGCUUAAUAUUUUUUUUUCACAAAGCAAAUUCAUAGUGGCUAUCUGCAAUUUGGAGGACGUAAACAACUGCCAAAGCAGUUAGGUGUUGUCCUCUGAUAUGAGCUCAGGAUAAUGAAGUAGAACUUCUGCCUCUUUCUAGUGAGUUAGAGCUUAUAAAUUCUAGUGUAUGUUUUGCAAUUUUUCUGUAGUUUUAGGUUCUUGAUUCUACUUCUUGUAUCUUUAUAAAGCAAAUUCAUUUAGGCCCUAUUUAGAUGUCAGAAUAGGUUAUCCAAGAAUAACUUAUUCGGUAUACGAAGUUUCCAGUAUAAUUAUAACCAAGGAUUUUAAUUUUUGCUUUUCCAAAGAUCUUGCUAUCUAUUAUUUGGUAGAAUAGCAUAUUUCACCUCGAGAUGAUUUAUCUUAUUCUGUCUAAAAUUUUUUUUGAAGGUUGUAUAUAAUAUUCCAUUCUAAACAUUUGAUCACACUUUAUCUACCAAAUAUAUAAAUUUCUUGACUAAAUCAAUGGGAUAUACUGAAUAAGAUAUUCAGGCUUCCAAACAGGGCCUUAUGCAAGUUUGUUUGAUUUGAUUUUGGAUCUUCAUGGGCUAACCAGCUUUAUUGAAAAUGCCAUGACCCUUUAGGGCACUGCCAAUACUUGCCUAUCUUAAAAUUUGUGCCGAGAGUUCACUAUUAGAGUGGAUGCUUUGGUGUUUGUAUGGUUAGUUUAUAACUUUGAUUUGGAUAAAUGGUAAUCGAUGAUUUGGUUUUUAUAUGGUCGUUUUAUCUGAACUCCAAUCUGAUAGCUUUACAUUUGGGUCUAUUUCAUAUAUGAAAUUGUUGUAUCUGUAACUUAUUUUGGAUAUGGAACCUUAAGGAUGCAAUUAUGUUUACCAGAAUUGCCAUGUUCUUAAUUAAAAGCUGAUUUAGAGUGACUGAAAUUGGACUCAAGUUGUUGAGGUCUCCAUCAUAAAACUAGGCCUAAGUGGUACCGGUUGCACUAAACUUUUAUAUUUUCGACAUCCAAACUCUGAAAAAUGUAUAGCAUUAAACAUUAAAAAUAAUUCUAAUAUUUUGAAGGAGACACUGCACGAUUUACCGCAUUUAGAAAGCGGUGAUUUAUUCAUUGCAUUAGACUAGUUUUGUGAAUAAAUUUCUUGAAGGACUAUUUUAUAAGUAUAGUAUUUUUAAAAUUUAUUAAAAAAAUUUCGUGUAAAUUUUACACCCGUUCGUCUCAGGAUCAAUAUUUUUUAAAAUAUUAAAAUCCAAAAGGGUUGGUCAACCCUAGGAUAACAGGGUGUAAGACUAACACCUGUUUUUGGGAUGUACAGCAAGUGUUUAGUUGGUGCAUUGUUCUUGGGUUGUUAGGAUUGUAGGGAUGCAGCUGAAACAUAUUUGUUUGUUUGUUUGUUUGUUUGUUUUUUAUUGUUCUUCUGUCAGUUGGAUGCUUGGAUCCUAUCCUAAGGAUAGAAGAAGGAAAUAGCCAUGAAACCCAGGACCUUAAUUAUUUGCUAGAACUUUCUCUUUUCAUCGUACUUAACUAAAUUGUAUCCUCGAUGAGUUCCAAGAAAUUGUGAGCACAAUCUGGGAGCAUGUUGUUUUGUCUAACACAAUGUUCACAACAACAUCUAAUGCAAUAAAGCAAUGACAAUAGACUUGAUGGCAUUUAAUUUGGCACAAAAUCUUGCCCAAAAGAGUUGCGAGUACAAGAAUAGGUUUUCUUUUAGGUGUCCCUGUAUAGCUGAAUUGAAAAGCUUGUUUAUUUAUAAAGAUGUGUUCAUUAAGUAUUCUCUUAUAGAGGACAAUCUUAGACGUGCUAAAAUAUUUUAAUGUUUUUGCUAAAAUAAUAUAUUACUGAUCUUGGUGCUGGUUCUUUUUCCUUCAACUAUUUCUAUUACUUUUCUUUCUCUACUUUUAUUACUACUGUUUCUUCAUGUUUAGCCUUUUUUUUUGUGGGGAGGUAGGGGGUGUGGUGUGUUGGGGGGUGGUUGGUAUAUUCAUUAGCAAGUGAAUUAUGUCUCAAAAUUUGUAAACAUAUCUUAGCAUUUGUUUUAUAGUUUCUGUUUAUAUUUGAUUUUUAUUUUCCUGCUAUGAUGAUCUUGCUCCUUGCACAAUAAGAUUCUUUCGCUUGAUUGGAAAGAAAGAAUUUGUUGGUAUUUUGUAUGUUGCGUUAAGAAUUUGGUCAACGAGAAUGAGAUUCCUUUUUUUUUCUAUGUUGUUAUAGAGCCUGAGUGGUUUUUCUCUUGUUUCUUUUAUUUGGUUUUUGUUGUUUCUAUUACUGCAUCUCUUUUUAUUUUUUUGACCAAAUCAGGAAUUCUUUUGCUUUCUAUAAUUUUUUUCUAAACACCAUUGCCGGAGAGCCCAGCCGUAGUUCAAUAGCUGAAAACCUUGCAGAAAGCUGCAUCCUUUAUUAUGCAAAAGGCAUUUGAUGCAAUCAGUGUAGGAAAGUCUAAGAUUUAGUGUUGCAGCUAAUGCAUCACUUGGUUGCAUCUACUGCUGUUCCCUAUGCUGCUUCUUUUACUUCGGCUGCUUCUUUUACUCUUCUUUGCUUGGUUUUACUGUUGUUGUUUCUUCUGCUUAAUUUUUUUAUGGGUGGCAAACUUUGGAUGUCCCAUAUUUAUGGGCAACCAUUUGCUGCAGGUUGUGAUACCAAUUAGAGUUGUUAUUUGCUGUCGGUUCUGAUAUGUAUUAGAGUUUGUUGUCUUGCAAAAUUUUGAUAUUUUUGGCCUGCAGGUUAAGGCUUCGCUGAUUCGUGACUGAUUAGUAAAUAAAUCUGAGGCUUUCUUUUGAUUUAUUUUCUGUUUUCCAGUUCGCCAUUUAUUUCUUAUGCUUUUUACUCUACCAAGUUGCAUCAAUCUUGCAAAGUAUUAAAAGUAAUAUUGAUUAUUUAAUUGAUUUAUGCUAAUGCUGUUGUUGUUCCUCUAUAUGUAUAAUUUUACUUCUGCGACUGUUUUUGUUUCUAUAUACGGUUUCCGCUUUUUCCUCUGUUGUUACUCCUGGUCUUGGUGCUGCUGCUUUUUUCUUCAACUAUUUAUUUUGCUCUUAGUUCUCUACUUUUAUUACUGUUUUUCUUCGAAUGUUGUAAGCAUAUCUUAACAUUUGUUCGUAAUAGUUUAUGCUUUUCUUUUUCUUCACCUUGAGCUACGAAGAUUUUGUUCCUUGUACAAUAAAGAUUCUUUAGCUUGAUUGGGAAGGCAGAAUUAGUUGGUCUAUUAUGUUUUAUGUUACGAAUUUGGCCAAAAGAAGGAAUGGUAUGCAAAAUUUGGAUGCUCUGUUCCAUAGAUAACCAUUUGCGGCUAUUUAUGUAAAAAUAUAUGGAUUAGAGAUCGAUUGUGCAUGCGGAAUGGAUCAGGUUUUCUCGGGGAAGGAUUGAGAUUGAAGAUUCCGUGUUUGAUUGAUGGGUUAUAGUUUCGAUUAAAUAUUUGGUUGGUUUUCCCCUUUUUUUGGUCCUCUUUAUUUAGUUUUUUAAUUGUUUUAUCCUAUUAGUAUACUUUCAAUUCUUAUCGUGUCGUUAUUAUUUAUGGUUUCCCUUUUUUUCUCUGUUGAUGGAGAGCUGUAGCGGUGUUUUGUGCUGUUUCUAUUAUUCGUUUUUUUCCCGUCUUUCUGUUGCUUCUGUUUCUUUGCCCGAAUCUGAAAUUCUUUUGCUGCUUCUAAAUU